GCGCGCAGACUGUCGGAGAAAAAAAGUCGAAGAAGGGACAGUGUGUGUGUGUGUGAUCCAGUCAACACAGAAAGCUUCUUACGUUACACGAAUUACGUAUAUUUUCUCCCCUCUCGCUUCUAACAUUGUCCGUGGAUAUAUGUAUG
Molecule: non-coding RNA, 146 nt
Organism: Caenorhabditis elegans
Lineage: Eukaryota; Metazoa; Nematoda; Chromadorea; Rhabditida; Rhabditidae
Source: Ensembl